Molecule: ribosomal RNA, 774 nt
Filed under: uncultured Neocallimastigales
Lineage: Eukaryota; Fungi; Neocallimastigomycota; Neocallimastigomycetes; Neocallimastigales
Description: partial large subunit ribosomal RNA
Rfam family: Eukaryotic large subunit ribosomal RNA
Source: RNAcentral
UCAGACGAUGCGUCAUGCAUAUCAAUAAGCGGAGGAAAAGGAACUAACAAGGAUUCCCCUAGUAACGGCGAGUGAAGCGGGAAGAGCUCAAAUUUGAAAUCUUAAAGGGUUUCCCUUUACGAAUUGUAGUUUAAAGAAGUGUUUUCUGUUGAGGUUUUGGUAAAAGUUCUUUGGAAUAGGACAUCAUAGAGGGUGAGAAUCCCGUAUUUGACCUUUACUUUCAACUUUGUGAUACACUUUCAAAGAGUCGGAUUGUUUGGGAAUGCAGUCCAAAAUGGGUGGUAAAUUUCAUCUAAAGCUAAAUAUUGGCGAGAGACCGAUAGCGAACAAGUACCGUGAGGGAAAGAUGAAAAGAACUUUGAAAAGAGAGUUAAACAGUACGUGAAAUUGUCAAAAGGGAAGCGUUUGACACCAGUGUUGUUUUUCUGAAAAUCAAUUAAAGAACUGUUUAUGCUAAGCUGUUUAGACUUUAUCAGCUAAUCUGUUUAGUUUUGAGCUUUUCUUUAAUGCACUUUUCAGUUAACAAGUCAACAUCAAUUUCUUUUGCUGUAAAAAAGCUUGAGGAAGGUGGCUUGAGAUUCGUCUUAAGUGUUUAUAGCCUCUUGCCUAUGCAGUCGGAGAGAUUGAGGUCUGCAGCGUAGAUCCUUCGGGGCUAAAUGCAUUUGUGCUAAGUUAUAGCAUUUUAUAGACAACUUGUGACUAUGAUUUGUCUUGUAGCUUACUCGCUUAUGUUAUUUUACCUACGCUUAGGAUGUUGACACACGCGCGUGCUCG